This 431-nucleotide unclassified non-coding RNA is filed under the name Hevea brasiliensis (rubber tree). Lineage: Eukaryota; Viridiplantae; Streptophyta; Magnoliopsida; Malpighiales; Euphorbiaceae. The record is from RNAcentral.
AUUUGCAUCAGGUUGACAGCAGAUAAGUUGGAUAUCAUUUAUAUUGUAUGCAUAAAGAUAGCCGUUGGGGUCAAGAUUCAAAUCAUCAUGGAGCUGAUUAAAUGGAAUCAUUUCACAAAGAGUAGUCUGAUAGAGGGUUAACCUUCCUCCACUUUUUUCUUUGAUAUCAAGCUGAACCCUCACAUCAUUUACAGGAUUUGCUAUGUUAGUUGGAUUACCGCUGCUGUACAUCAGCAUGGGAGCCCAGAUUACACAGAUCAAUAUAAAGAACAAGCAUAUUCCAUUGCAGAAUUUGGUCAUCUUAGUCUGCUUCUCCCCUGGUUUGUGUGUAGCUCUGUUCAGAACAGCAUCACAUUUGACAAGGUACAAGCUUGCAUUUAUGUCUUCCAACUUCAGCCAGUCAUACAUUGUCAAUGAAGUUUUAGUGCAAG